CCAGACCCUCAAAGCCAAUCCUUUUGGGGAUCAAACCCAUUGUCACGCAGAGGGAGGAGGAGAGCGCCACAGACUCAGGUUUUGAUUUUGACUACUGAAACUCACAUCUGCUUGCCCUUCAUGUGCAAGCCAGGGUUGUGAAAUUACUCACUCCACUCUGAUGUGUUAAAGAAAAUAGUCUCUCUUUUCUCUAAAUUACUCUGAUGUCCCUUUUGAGCCCUCACCUGCUGGGUAGCAGGAGGGAAAAGCUAAGUUUAGCUCAAUGGAUUUUUUUUUUUUUUAAA
Long non-coding RNA from Ochotona princeps (American pika), 284 nucleotides. RefSeq lists it as uncharacterized. Lineage: Eukaryota; Metazoa; Chordata; Mammalia; Lagomorpha; Ochotonidae. The transcript has 2 exons. The record is from RefSeq and is a predicted model, not a curated record.